Molecule: transfer RNA, 74 nt
Filed under: Marinomonas hwangdonensis
Lineage: Bacteria; Pseudomonadati; Pseudomonadota; Gammaproteobacteria; Oceanospirillales; Oceanospirillaceae
Also listed under: 2 other names
Description: Marinomonas sp. HDW-15 tRNA
Rfam family: tRNA
About the family: Transfer RNA (tRNA) molecules are approximately 80 nucleotides in length. Their secondary structure includes four short double-helical elements and three loops (D, anti-codon, and T loops).
Source: Rfam by way of RNAcentral
CGCGGGAUGGAGCAGUCUGGUAGCUCGUCGGGCUCAUAACCCGAAGGUCGUUGGUUCGAAUCCAGCUCCCGCAA